This is a non-coding RNA of Erythranthe guttata (spotted monkey flower), 452 nucleotides long. Lineage: Eukaryota; Viridiplantae; Streptophyta; Magnoliopsida; Lamiales; Phrymaceae. The record is from RefSeq and is a predicted model, not a curated record.
UCUUCACGAAGGCUUGAUACAGUAUCGACCAUCCUCUGUGUCUGCAAGAAGAAGAAAAUUCUUGUAUCAAUUCACAAUAUGUUUACGUACAUGCCGACAAUUUUUACAUUUUUAUUUUUUUAGGUUGACAAAAAUCGGAAAGAAGACACUAUACGGACCAAACUUUAGCUCAUGCAUGCAAGAUAAUGCAAUAUGAAUUUUCACCGAACCCACGAUUCUCAAGAAGCAUAAGAUCCGUCACACUUAGUUCGUCAAGUUCCCUAUCGAUACAUAUUUUGAGUUAAUCAAUAAACGCCCGAUAAAGUUCCCAUUUAAUUUUUAGACCAGACCGUAAAAGAAAAACCGUUAGUUACCUUUCAACAUCUCGAAGUAACUCCUCACUUGUAAUAGAGUUGUUUGACUGCCCCUGAUUUUAUAUAUAUAACCAAAAUAUUAUCCCGGAUUUUAGAGUG